Molecule: ribosomal RNA, 421 nt
Filed under: uncultured bacterium
Lineage: Bacteria
Description: bacterial SSU rRNA
Rfam family: Bacterial small subunit ribosomal RNA
Source: RNAcentral
UGGGGAAUAUUGGUCAAUGGGCGAAAGCCUGAACCUGCAAUGCCGCGUGAGUGAUGAAGGCCUUCGGGUUGUAAAGCUCUGUCGGGAGGGACGAAAAAGGGCGGGUAACGCCGCCACUUGACGGUACCUCCAAAGGAAGCACCGGCUAACUCUGUGCCAGCAGCCGCGGUAAUACAGAGGGUGCAAGCGUUGUUCGGAAUUACUGGGCGUAAAGCGCGUGUAGGCUGCAAUGUAAGUCGGAUGUGAAAGCCCUUGGCUUAACCAAGGAAGUGCAUCCGAUACUGCAUCGCUUGAGUGUCGGAGGGGAUGGCGGAAUUCCCGGUGUAGAGGUGAAAUUCGUAGAUAUCGGGAGGAACACCUGUGGCGAAGGCGGCCGUCUGGACGAUAACUGACGCUGAGACGCGAAAGCGUGGGUAGCAAA